AGUCGAACGGCAGCGCGGGGCAACCUGGCGGCGAGUGGCGAACGGGUGAGUAAUAUAUCGGAACGUACCCAAGAGUGGGGGAUAACGUAGCGAAAGUUACGCUAAUACCGCAUACGAUCUAAGGAUGAAAGCAGGGGACCGCAAGGCCUUGUGCUCCUGGAGCGGCCGAUAUCUGAUUAGCUAGUUGGUAGGGUAAAGGCCUACCAAGGCUACGAUCAGUAGCUGGUCUGAGAGGACGACCAGCCACACUGGAACUGAGACACGGUCCAGACUCCUACGGGAGGCAGCAGUGGGGAAUUUUGGACAAUGGGCGCAAGCCUGAUCCAGCAAUGCCGCGUGAGUGAAGAAGGCCUUCGGGUUGUAAAGCUCUUUUGUCAGGGAAGAAACGGUGGGAGCUAAUAUCUCCCACUAAUGACGGUACCUGAAGAAUAAGCACCGGCUAACUACGUGCCAGCAGCCGCGGUAAUACGUAGGGUGCAAGCGUUAAUCGGAAUUACUGGGCGUAAAGCGUGCGCAGGCGGUUUUGUAAGUCUGAUGUGAAAUCCCCGGGCUCAACCUGGGAAUUGCAUUGGAGACUGCAAGGCUAGAAUCUGGCAGAGGGGGGUAGAAUUCCACGUGUAGCAGUGAAAUGCGUAGAGAUGUGGAGGAACACCGAUGGCGAAGGCAGCCCCCUGGGUCAAGAUUGACGCUCAUGCACGAAAGCGUGGGGAGCAAACAGGAUUAGAUACCCUGGUAGUCCACGCCCUAAACGAUGUCUACUAGUUGUCGGGUUUUAAUUAACUUGGUAACGCAGCUAACGCGUGAAGUAGACCGCCUGGGGAGUACGGUCGCAAGAUUAAAACUCAAAGGAAUUGACGGGGACCCGCACAAGCGGUGGAUGAUGUGGAUUAAUUCGAUGCAACGCGAAAAACCUUACCUACCCUUGACAUGGAUGGAAUCCCGGAGAGAU
Molecule: ribosomal RNA, 949 nt
Filed under: Massilia soli
Lineage: Bacteria; Pseudomonadati; Pseudomonadota; Betaproteobacteria; Burkholderiales; Oxalobacteraceae
Description: bacterial SSU rRNA
Rfam family: Bacterial small subunit ribosomal RNA
Source: RNAcentral